GAUACAGAUGUAUGGCGAUAUAAUAUUUUCAAAACGAUGUGGGGAUUCCCUCGGGUCCUCCCUCUUGAUACCUUCAGAAACCCGAGCAACGGAUACCUCUUCAAUGGAGAUAACUGCGAGUUUGGUGUUGAUGUGACUGUUCAUUCUCCCUUUGAAAGUUCAGAACUUUUCACUGUCGCUAGGAAUUUCCCUAACCCGAGGUUCACCUGGACUAUUCAGAGGUUCUCCACGCUGGUCGGAGAUACGCAUCUCUCUAAUACGUUCUCGGUCGGAGGAAGGAAUUGGUGAGUGAGUCCUGUCCAACACUAGUUCAAGACUAAUUAGCGUAUUGUGGUAGUAACAGAUAUUCCAUAUGAUUACCCGUUCUAAGCAUAAACAAAGUGAAAUAUCAGUCCAUUGUUUUAAAAUUUUAAGAAUAUAUAUAAGCUCCAAAAUUUGUUUAAAGAAAAUCUAUUAAAAAUUUUAAUGAAAUUAGUAAAUUUUCUAUAGUCCCAUAAUCUCGUGUCCGAAUCGAAUAUUACAUAUUAAAAACCUUUUGAUGGAUCUUGUUAUACAGGUCACUUAUUGUGUAUCCCAACGGGAACAGGCAGGAUAGUGGCUCAGGGUUCAUUUCGCUUUAUUUAGCCAUAGACAACUCGACUCUCCUUUCUUCGCAUCAAGAGGUUUUCGCAGAUCUCAGGUUUUACGUAUUCAAAAGGACCGAGAGGAAUUUCUUCACCGUCCAAGGUUCUUUCUAAUUUUUCCAUUCUAUCAAGAAACAUGCAAUGUGUAUAUACUAUAUAGUAGUAACAUCUAUCUUUGUUUCAAUCCGCAGAUACAGAUGUAUGGCGAUAUAAUAUUUUCAAAACGAUGUGGGGAUUCCCUCGGGUCCUCCCUCUUGAUACCUUCAGAAACCCGAGCAACGGAUACCUCUUCAAUGGAGAUAACUGCGAGUUUGGUGUUGAUGUGACUGUUCAUUCUCCCUUUGAAAGUUCAGAACUUUUCACUGUCGCUAGGAAUUUCCCUAACCCGAGGUUCACCUGGACUAUUCAGAGGUUCUCCACGCUGGUCGGAGAUACGCAUCUCUCUAAUACGUUCUCGGUCGGAGGAAGGAAUUGGUGAGUGAGUCCUGUCCAACACUAGUUCAAGACUAAUUAGCGUAUUGUGGUAGUAACAGAUAUUCCAUAUGAUUAACAGGAAUAUACAAGUGAAUCCACGUGGCCGUUCAACGGGGGCGGGAAGAGCCAUGUCGAUGUAUCUUAUCCUUAAUGCGAACGAGAAAGUUAGACCCAAUGAGAAGAUUUAUGUUCGAGCAAGGCUUAGAGUUAUU
RNAcentral lists this long non-coding RNA (1309 nucleotides) under Brassica napus (rape). RNAcentral's name for it is "long non-coding RNA (BNAP_LNC002698)". The record is from RNAcentral. Lineage: Eukaryota; Viridiplantae; Streptophyta; Magnoliopsida; Brassicales; Brassicaceae.